UACGUAGGGACCAAGCGUUGCUCGGAAUCACUGGGCGUAAAGGGUGCGUAGGCGGCUUGGUAAGUUGGGUGUGAAAGCCCCGGGCUCAGCCCGGGAAGGGCACUCGAAACUGCCGAGCUGGAGUGCCGGAGGGGAGAGUGGAAUUCCUGGUGUAGCGGUGAAAUGCGUAGAUAUCAGGAGGAAUACCGGUGGCGAAAGCGACUCUCUGGACGGCAACUGACGCUGAGGCACGAAAGCGUGGGGAGCAAACAGG
This 253-nucleotide ribosomal RNA is filed under the name uncultured bacterium. RNAcentral's name for it is "partial 16S ribosomal RNA". It matches the Rfam family "Bacterial small subunit ribosomal RNA", at positions 524 to 776 of the family's 1533-position model. The record is from RNAcentral.